GCAUGCUUAGUCUCCAUAACCGUUCUCUCCAAUUUAUUCAUCCACCCCAUCCCUUUAAUUCGAUUCAAAAUUUUAGUAAAUCAUGGUUUUCCUACGAAUUGGCAAAGGAUGUGACACCCACCAAAAUCCCAAUACAAUCAUCAAAUGUCUCCAAAGGAACAGGGCCAAGCCGACAUUAUCAUGCGAAUGCGGAGUAAAAUUCCGCCAGGCCACAUUGCCUAGGUUUGGUGGGAUGGGAGGCUUCUCUUCCACCGGAACGCGUCAUUUACUAAAGCAUUAGAAAACGGGUGGAGAGCUGCUGUGAGGACAUUAUGGAGAAGCACUAUGGCCCACCGUAUCAUAACGACACCCUAACAAAAGUGGGGUACCUAACCCUCAAAUUGGUUGACACACUUGGCUCAUCAACACAUCAACUCUGUGAGUCAUAUUUAUGUUGACACGUUUCAUCCAGUCUGUCGCCUAACUUUACAGAAGAUUUACGAAGCCAGGGCUUUUGAGAACCAACCUGGGAAAUAGCCCUCGUAAACACUAUUGGGAACUAGGGAGGAAAG
This 551-nucleotide unclassified non-coding RNA is filed under the name Hevea brasiliensis (rubber tree). The record is from RNAcentral. Lineage: Eukaryota; Viridiplantae; Streptophyta; Magnoliopsida; Malpighiales; Euphorbiaceae.